RNAcentral lists this ribosomal RNA (1470 nucleotides) under Companilactobacillus paralimentarius. Its description in RNAcentral is "bacterial SSU rRNA". It matches the Rfam family "Bacterial small subunit ribosomal RNA". The record is from RNAcentral. Lineage: Bacteria; Bacillati; Bacillota; Bacilli; Lactobacillales; Lactobacillaceae.
GAAUGCUGGCGGCAUGCCUAAUACAUGCAAGUCGAACGAACCAUCCUGAUGAUUGAAGCUUGCUUCAUGAUUCAGAUCUUGGUGAGUGGCGGACGGGUGAGUAACACGUGGGUAACCUGCCCAGAAGUGGGGGAUAACAUUUGGAAACAAGUGCUAAUACCGCAUAACAACUUAGAUCACAUGAUCUUUGUUUAAAAGAUGGUUUUGCUAUCUCUUCUGGAUGGACCCGCGGCGUAUUAGCUAGUUGGUGAGGUAAUAGCUCACCAAGGCGAUGAUACGUAGCCGACCUGAGAGGGUAAUCGGCCACAUUGGGACUGAGACACGGCCCAAACUCCUACGGGAGGCAGCAGUAGGGAAUCUUCCACAAUGGACGAAAGUCUGAUGGAGCAAUGCCGCGUGAGUGAAGAAGGUUUUCGGAUCGUAAAACUCUGUUGUUGAAGAAGAAUAUAUGUGAGAGUAACUGUUCACGUACUGACGGUAUUCAACCAGAAAGCCACGGCUAACUACGUGCCAGCAGCCGCGGUAAUACGUAGGUGGCAAGCGUUGUCCGGAUUUAUUGGGCGUAAAGAGAAUGUAGGCGGUUUAUUAAGUUUGAAGUGAAAGCCCUCGGCUCAACCGAGGAAGUGCUUCGAAAACUGGUAAACUUGAGUGCAGAAGAGGAAAGUGGAACUCCAUGUGUAGCGGUGGAAUGCGUAGAUAUAUGGAAGAACACCAGUGGCGAAGGCGGCUUUCUGGUCUGUAACUGACGCUGAGAUUCGAAAGCAUGGGUAGCAAACAGGAUUAGAUACCCUGGUAGUCCAUGCCGUAAACGAUGAGUGCUAAGUGUUGGAGGGUUUCCGCCCUUCAGUGCUGCAGCUAACGCAUUAAGCACUCCGCCUGGGGAGUACGAUCGCAAGAUUGAAACUCAAAGGAAUUGACGGGGGCCCGCACAAGCGGUGGAGCAUGUGGUUUAAUUCGAAGCAACGCGAAGAACCUUACCAGGUCUUGACAUACCAUGAAAAGCUUAGAGAUAAGUCUUUCCCUUCGGGGACAUGGAUACAGGUGGUGCAUGGUUGUCGUCAGCUCGUGUCGUGAGAUGUUGGGUUAAGUCCCGCAACGAGCGCAACCCUUAUUAUCAGUUGCCAGCAUUCAGUUGGGCACUCUGGUGAGACUGCCGGUGAUAAACCGGAGGAAGGUGGGGACGACGUCAAAUCAUCAUGCCCCUUAUGACCUGGGCUACACACGUGCUACAAUGGUCGGUACAACGUGCUGCGAACUCGCGAGGGCAAGCAAAUCACUUAAAACCGAUCUCAGUUCGGAUUGUAGGCUGCAACUCGCCUACAUGAAGCUGGAAUCGCUAGUAAUCGCGGAUCAGCAUGCCGCGGUGAAUACGUUCCCGGGCCUUGUACACACCGCCCGUCACACCAUGAGAGUUUGUAACACCCAAAGUCGGUGGGGUAACCCUUCGGGGAACUAGCCGCCUAAGGUGGG